This 773-nucleotide ribosomal RNA is filed under the name uncultured Neocallimastigales. Its description in RNAcentral is "partial large subunit ribosomal RNA". It matches the Rfam family "Eukaryotic large subunit ribosomal RNA", at positions 26 to 646 of the family's 3401-position model. The record is from RNAcentral. Lineage: Eukaryota; Fungi; Neocallimastigomycota; Neocallimastigomycetes; Neocallimastigales.
CGCAUCUGUGCAUGCAGCAUAUCAAUAAGCGGAGGAAAAGAAACUAACAAGGAUUCCCCUAGUAACGGCGAGUGAAGCGGGAAGAGCUCAAAUUUGAAAUCUUAAAGGGUUUCCCUUUACGAAUUGUAGUUUAAAGAAGUGUUUUCUGUUGAGGUUUUGGUAAAAGUUCUUUGGAAUAGGACAUCAUAGAGGGUGAGAAUCCCGUAUUUGACCUUUACUUUCAACUUUGUGAUACACUUUCAAAGAGUCGGAUUGUUUGGGAAUGCAGUCCAAAUGGGUGGUAAAUUUCAUCUAAAGCUAAAUAUUGGCGAGAGACCGAUAGCGAACAAGUACCGUGAGGGAAAGAUGAAAAGAACUUUGAAAAGAGAGUUAAACAGUACGUGAAAUUGUCAAAAGGGAAGCGUUUGACACCAGUGUUGUUUUUCUGAAAAUCAAUUAAAGAACUGUUUAUGCUAAGUUGUUUAGACUUUAUCAGCUAACUGUUUAGUUUUGAGCUUUUCUUUAAUGCACUUUUCAGUUAACAAGUCAACAUCAAUUUCUUUUGCUGUAAAAAAGCUUGAGGAAGGUGGCUUGAGAUUCGUCUUAAGUGUUUAUAGCCUCUUGCCUAUGCAGUCGGAGAGAUUGAGGUCUGCAGCGUAGAUCCUUCGGGGCUAAAUGCAUUUGUGCUAAGUUAUAGCAUUUUAUAGACAACUUGUUGACUAUGAUUUGUCUUGUAGCUUACUCGCUUAUGUUAUUUUACCUACGCUUAGGAUGUUGACGAGACUGUCGAUCUC